CUUUGGUACCGGUGUUUGUCACAGUAAGGGAGAUGGAACUAGAAGAUCAACACUGGAAUUGCAAGAGCACACGACAGGCCCAACCUUUCUUAUGAGUUCUAGGGAUCAAUAUUUUUCUGGAUGCUUAUGAGGCAAACACUUUACCAACUGAACUGUCUUCCCAACACACAGACACACACAUGCACAAACAGUCACACACAGGCACACACCAGGACUAUAAAUGCCAAGCCACAGUUACAUGCUUGAAUAAUUUUCUGAUAGCAAACGUCUUAGUUUGCCACACCACCUCCAGUAGGAUGUGUGUGACAAGUUCCAUAGACUGAGGCGAUUGACCUCAAAACGGGGAGGCCUCCUGGAACCCGUUGUGGAACUCUUCGCCAGAGAAAAUAAUAUUGAGCCAUAGUUCUCAUGGCAAUCUAUCUGUUUUGUUUUCUCUUAUUCCUUUUCUUAUUUACAUAUUUACAUGUUCCUAGCCAAGAUCUUAAGCGAGAAUAAUGGGCAAGAAACCAUUCCUUGAGAUGGGGCCACUAACAUGACCUUAUCCCCGGGGAAACCAACGCUUUACUUUUUAAAUCAUUUACAAAACUAUUAUGAUAGAUAAAAAUUUUCCCAAUAACAAAAUUUCAUACAGCUACAUGUGUGUCAUCAGAGGUGGGUUUUGGUAUAUGGUAAAGAAAGCCUAAAUUAAAAAGAAUUAAAAUGGUUUAAAUUUAUACAUUGAAGAUUUAUAAAAAAUUAGGCAGAUGUUACAUAAUAAUUGACCAUGGGGCUAGAGAGUUAGCUCAGCGUUUAAGAGCACUGACCAUUAAAAAUUUAUUAACCUGCUCCUGGAAAUAUGCCACUAGCCUUGGAUAACAGCCU
This 861-nucleotide long non-coding RNA is filed under the name Mus musculus (house mouse). Its description in RNAcentral is "long non-coding RNA chr3:30829628-30830489". Lineage: Eukaryota; Metazoa; Chordata; Mammalia; Rodentia; Muridae. The record is from RNAcentral.